GACGUAGGAUGCAAGCGUUACUCGGAAUCACUGGGCGUAAAGCGUCUGUAGGCGGUUUGGUAAGUCUGCGGUAAAAGGUGUGAGCUCAACUCGCAUUAUGUCGCGGAAACUGCCUUACUGGAGCAACCAAGAGGCACCUGGAAUGCCGUGUGUAGGGGUAAUAUCCGUUGAUACACGGUAGAACGCUAAAAGCGAAGGCAGGGUGCUGGUGGUUCGCUGACGCUGAGAGACGAAAGCGUGGGGAGCGAACGGG
RNAcentral lists this ribosomal RNA (253 nucleotides) under uncultured bacterium. Its description in RNAcentral is "partial 16S ribosomal RNA". It matches the Rfam family "Bacterial small subunit ribosomal RNA", at positions 524 to 776 of the family's 1533-position model. The record is from RNAcentral.